GAUAGUUCUACAGGUGUGUGGACAGAAGACACUCACAGAGACUAGAUAUUUUGAAGAAUAACAGCUGGUGUUUUGCUUGAGAUAUCGAUCACUACAAGAACAGCACAAAAAUUCUGAAGACUUCUAAGAUUACUUUUUGGGAAGGCAAACACUUUGAAGGGCAAGAUCAGAAUUCAAAACCAUCUCACUUUGGAGAUCAGAUAGAAACUAACAAAAUGAAGACAACUACACUUAAGAAAGCAGAAUCAAAUGCAGAGAUUACAAUCUUUGAGGAAAACGGUAGCUCCGCAAGACUGACUCUUUGACAAACAAGUUCUGUUCAAGGAAGAAGAUUUAAAAAUUGG
This is a long non-coding RNA of Gymnogyps californianus (California condor), 344 nucleotides long. RefSeq lists it as uncharacterized. NCBI's taxonomy places the organism in Eukaryota, Metazoa, Chordata, Aves, Accipitriformes, Cathartidae. The record is from RefSeq and is a predicted model, not a curated record. The transcript is spliced from 4 exons.